UACGGAGGAUGCGAGCGUUAUCCGGAUUUAUUGGGUUUAAAGGGUGCGUAGGCGGAAUGAUAAGUCAGUGGUGAAAACCUGCAGCUUAACUGUAGACUUGCCGUUGAUACUGUCAGUCUUGAGUGUGGUCAAGGUAGGCGGAAUGUGUAAUGUAGCGGUGAAAUGCUUAGAUAUUACACAGAACACCGAUUGCGAAGGCAGCUUACUGGGCCAUUACUGACGCUGAUGCACGAAAGCGUGGGGAUCGAACAGGAUUAGAUACCCUGGUAGUCCACGCCGUAAACGAUGAUCACUCGCUGUUAGCGAUACACAGUUAGCGGCUAAGCAAAAGCAUUAAGUGAUCCACCUGGGGAGUACGGCCGCAAGGCUGAA
RNAcentral lists this ribosomal RNA (372 nucleotides) under uncultured Bacteroidota bacterium. RNAcentral describes it as "bacterial SSU rRNA". It matches the Rfam family "Bacterial small subunit ribosomal RNA", at positions 524 to 898 of the family's 1533-position model. Lineage: Bacteria; Pseudomonadati; Bacteroidota. The record is from RNAcentral.